This 1015-nucleotide long non-coding RNA is filed under the name Gadus morhua (Atlantic cod). RNAcentral describes it as "lncRNA (ENSGMOG00000031945.1)". Lineage: Eukaryota; Metazoa; Chordata; Actinopteri; Gadiformes; Gadidae. The record is from RNAcentral.
CCACCACGUCCUCAAAAGCGUAAACGCUUGCCGAAGUACGGACGUGAGUGGGAAGACGCACAUCCUUGGCUGGACAGCGUCAAUGGAGAUGUUUACAAGGCAAGUUGUAAAAUAUGUCGACGAGUGUUUUCAGUGGCGCACGGUGGGCUGUCUGACAUCAGACAGAAUGCAACAGGAGAGCAACACUGCAGACACGAAAGAUCACAGAAGACCCAAGCGUCAGUGUCACAGUUCUUCAUACCCCAAUCAUCUCCUGAGGUUGAUACGGGGAGAUUUGGAGGUACCUGGUCAGGUCUUGGUCAGCCUUCAAAUCCCAGAUGUGGAGACUGCAGGGAUACCUCACAGAGAAGACACUAAAGAGUCAUCUCUCAUUCAUCGAGUGGACUCAUUGGUUUGCGAAUGACCACAAAGAUGCUCCCAUAGGCAGAUUGCUGCAUGGCAUUCACCGCUUAUUCAAAUGGAAGGGGUUGAAGCAGUCUUCCUUGUGGUCACUUGCCAUAACAAUGUCAUGUGUUUUAUGAAAACACCAUCAGUAACAUUUAAAUUGAGAUGAUGUUUGUGGACGGCUCUUUUUAUGUCAGAUUUCUUCAGUGUUCAGUGCCUGUUUGUGAGAUAUGCAUUGUUUGAAAGAUAAGCCUUUGAUUUUGUUUAAUUUUAAUAUGCCUUUCAUCAACAGUGGUUUGGGGUUUUAUAACAACAAUUAAAGUGCUUAACUACUGGUGAACGAUGUUGCAGAACAUAUAUGGUUUGUGUUGAUUGCAUGGAAAAGGGAAUAACCAGUUACAACUUAUAUGGUAAGAGCCUGGUAAUACCAUGGAAACAAACUAGGCUUCCUUUUACAGUACAGUUUCAGCUUACUUACUGGGUAAAUUGUCGUGUUUUACUUGGUAACGUCGCAGAACGUACAUGGUACAAGUUUGUGUUGACUGCAUGGAAAAGGGAAUAAUGUAUUACAAAUUAUAUGGUAAGAACCUGGUAAUACCAUGGAAAUAAACGAGGCUUCCUUUUACAGUAC